GAGGAUAUAGCUCACUGGUAGAGUGCAUGUUCAGCACGUACGGGGUCCUGGGUUCAAUUCCCAGUACCUCCA
RNAcentral lists this transfer RNA (72 nucleotides) under Camelus bactrianus (Bactrian camel). It matches the Rfam family "tRNA". From Rfam's summary of the family: Transfer RNA (tRNA) molecules are approximately 80 nucleotides in length. Their secondary structure includes four short double-helical elements and three loops (D, anti-codon, and T loops). The record is from Rfam by way of RNAcentral. RNAcentral also lists the same sequence under 2 other names. Lineage: Eukaryota; Metazoa; Chordata; Mammalia; Artiodactyla; Camelidae.